This 497-nucleotide ribosomal RNA is filed under the name uncultured bacterium. Its description in RNAcentral is "partial 16S ribosomal RNA". It matches the Rfam family "Bacterial small subunit ribosomal RNA", at positions 28 to 507 of the family's 1533-position model. The record is from RNAcentral.
GAUGAACGCUGGCGGCGUGCCUAGUACAUGCAAGUCGAGCGAACAGACGAGGAGCUUGCUCCUUCGACGUUAGCGGCGGACGGGUGAUUAACACGUAGGUAACCUACCUAUAAGACUUGGAUAACUUCGGGAAACCGGAGCUAAUACCGGAUCAUAUUUCGAACCGCAUGGUUCGAUAGUGAAAGAUGGCUUUGCUAUCACUUAUAGAUGGACCUGCGCCGUAUUAGCUAGUUGGUAAGGUAACGGCUUACCAAGGCAACGAUACGUAGCCGACCUGAGAGGGUGAUCGGCCACACUGGAACUGAGACACGGUCCAGACUCCUACGGGAGGCAGCAGUAGGGAAUCUUCCGCAAUGGGCGAAAGCCUGACGGAGCAACGCCGCGUGAGUGAUGAAGGUCUUCGGAUCGUAAAACUCUGUUAUUAGGGAAGAACAAACGUGUAAGUAACUGUGCACGUCUUGACGGUACCUAAUCAGAAAGCCACGGCUAACUACGUG